UACCCGGCCCUUUUUAGGGCCAUCCCACGUGAUAUUUGAGUCUUCAG
Lasius niger is the source of this 47-nucleotide non-coding RNA. The record is from Rfam. NCBI's taxonomy places the organism in Eukaryota, Metazoa, Arthropoda, Insecta, Hymenoptera, Formicidae.